RNAcentral lists this transfer RNA (74 nucleotides) under Agrococcus sp. SL85. RNAcentral describes it as "tRNA-Val". It matches the Rfam family "tRNA". From Rfam's summary of the family: Transfer RNA (tRNA) molecules are approximately 80 nucleotides in length. Their secondary structure includes four short double-helical elements and three loops (D, anti-codon, and T loops). Lineage: Bacteria; Bacillati; Actinomycetota; Actinomycetes; Micrococcales; Microbacteriaceae. The record is from RNAcentral.
GAGCCUGUAGGCUCAGCUGGCAGAGCGCCUCGCUUACACCGAGGAUGUCGGCGGUUCGAUCCCGUCCAGGCUCA